This 4065-nucleotide long non-coding RNA is filed under the name Macaca mulatta (Rhesus monkey). Its description in RNAcentral is "lncRNA (ENSMMUG00000056161.1)". Lineage: Eukaryota; Metazoa; Chordata; Mammalia; Primates; Cercopithecidae. The record is from RNAcentral.
AUGUGCACGGAGCAGCCUUUGAACACCUGGACCUGGGGCACCUGGGAGGUGGGAGGAUGGGAGGAACCCAGCAGCCGAGGUCAGGUGGCAGACAAGCUGGGUCAUGCUGUGCGCCCGUCCAAAUGGAUCCACCUGGCAUGUGGGUGGUGUGACCCAACUGGUUGGAACUUUUCAGUGCCAAACUGUUCUUUUCAGAAGACAGGCCUAGAGAGCUGGCCUCCAUCCUCCUUGCCACUCUGGGGACACCUGGGGACUUUCUUCUGUGACUUGCCAAGAACAUCCCAUGAGCUGCCGGGUUCCAGACGUUUGGGUAGUGAUGAUUCUGGUGGUGGAGCACAACCCCCACCCCCUGCUUCCUGUUAUCCUUUCUGACCAUAUUUCAGGGAAAUUCAAAUCUGGGAGGGCUCUGAGGCUCCAUCCCUGUGGUGCCAAACCUCCUAAUGAAAACAGAACCAGAGUCAAGCAGCCAGAUGUUUCUAUAAUGGGAAAAGCCCGGGCACAGCCACUUACCUUUGUUCUACUCACAGACAUUUGCAUUCAUUUCAUGUGAUGGCUUUGGGAGACAUGAAACAGCCUAAGACAGCAUGGGUUGGGGCUGUUCCUCCAGAAGUUUGGAAAUUCUGUGGUUGUUGCCUUUGGUGCUUAGUCAAACCGUCUUUGUCGUAAGUCAAAUGGACACUAUUUGUACUGUUCAUUCUUAUUGCAUUUGCAGGAUGUUUUAUGACAGCAGUUUGUAGGUAUUUCUGUGACAGAAAUCAGAGACAAAAGGAAGGAGGAAAGGUCAGACUCAAAACGUAUGGCUCUACCCUCUGACUCAUGGGGAGAAGCUAUGAGACCCGGAGCUCUGGGCUUUAAGUCGGACGAUACUAGGGCUUGAAAUCAUUAUCUCCAUCCUUCCCCCAACCCAGUCUGUGGAGGUGGGCGACAGGGAGGAAAUGGCCUCAAGAAAGCAUGUUUCUCAGAUCCCACUCAAGGAAUUCCGAUUUCCUGACUCUUCAUACAGUAAGGACUUGGGGGCUACCUAACCAUCUGUCUCACACCAAGACGGCAGCCAGCUGAGCCACACUUAGAAGUGCCUUUGUGGCCGGACAUGGUGGCUCACGCCUGUAAUCCCAGCACUUUGGGAGGCUGAGUUGGGUGGAUCACCUGAGGUCAGGAGUUUGAGACCAGCCCAGCCAACGUGGUGAAACCCCAUGUCUACUAAAAAUACAAAAAUUAGCCAGGCAUGGUGGCAGGCACCUGUAAUCCCAGCUACUCGGGAGGCUGAGGCAGGAGAAUUGCUUGAACCCAGGAGGCUGAGAUUUCAGUGAGCCGAGACUGUGCCAUUGUACUCUAGCCUGGGCAAGAGAGCGAGACUCUAUCUCAAAAAAAAAAAAAAGAAGCAAGUCAUUAGGUCCAGCCUACUCUCAAGGGGAGAAAAUUACACAAAGGCAUGAAUAAUGUCUGGCACACGGGAGAUUCAAAAUAUGUAUACAUUGAGUAAAUGGAAAAAAUCUGGCAGAAGGGAAAGAAAUUUUUUGUAAAAUUAAAAAAAUAUAUUUAGAAAAGUACAAGGAUGGUGCAGUGGCUCACGCAUGUAAUCCUAGCACUUUGAGAGGCCGAGCAUGCGGCAUGGGAGUCAUCUUAGCAGCCUAUGCACCAGUUUGUUUUCAGCUGAAACAGCCACUGAAUGGAAGUUAGUAAAACCCCUGGCAUCUGUUAAGAUUCAGCUAACCCACCAACCAAACGUGGGUUAUGAUGGUUGAAUCACAUUCAUAUUCAAUUUAUUCCCAUCAGGCGUUUGUGGCUAUUUGAAAAAAAUCUUCAUCCUUCUUAACAAGACUCCACGUUGUCUUCUCCAUGACCUGUGCUGCUACAACAUUGAGUUCUGUUCGGCUUUCUUGAGGUUGGGGAUCAGAUUUGCACCCAGGCCUGGGCACUCCUUCUAAGAACAAGAAAGAGUGAACAGGAUCCAGUUACAAGAGACUGCAGAACCCUAAAAUGUUCAAGCCAGAAAAGAUACAAGAGAGAUCACUGCAUAAUCGAUUAUCUUCUAUCCCACCCUGAACUGAGCCCCCAUCCUCGGUGACUUUCCAUACCUUCAAACACCUUCCUUACAGUUCUUUCUCUCUCUCCAUAUAGACCAGAUAGUGCUGUGAAACAAACAACAAUGAACCGCAGUGGCAUGCAACAAUUAGCGUGCAUUUCUCAUUUACAUGUCUGUGGUUUGGCUGGAGUAGCUCUGUGUCUCUGACAGAAGUUCUGUAGGUCCUUUAGGGUAGCUCUACUCCACAUGUCUUUCAUUUUCUGGGACCACUAAGCUACCAGAGGUAUACCAUGCUCAUGGAAAUGGCAAAAGAGAGAGAGGGCAAAUCCUACCACCCAGGCACCCUUCCAUUCUUUGUGUGUGUCAUCUUUGGUAAUAUCUCACUGGGCAAAGCAAGUCACAUGGCCAAGCUCAAGAUCAAGUUGAGGAAUAUACUCCUUCCACCAUGAGGCUAUGGCUAGAGUCGGGAUGUAUACUACUACUAUAAGGGGCUGAAGGACUGGGACCAGAACUCAAUCAAACACACUCUUACUUUUCCCCACACCAAGUUCAUUAUCGAAACACCAGAAGCAGGAAUACAAGCAGGUAUGGGGCAGGUUUCUGUCUCCCAUCUUCCUAGAGGGACAGGAGUAUAUUUAGAGACAGAAAACAAAGAAUAGCAAGUAGCAGGUGAAUGGGACAGACAGGUUGGGCUCUGGAGAGGGUUUAGAAAUAAGAGAGAGGAACAACUGGCCCGUUUUUUUCUCUGGGUCUUGGAGAGGGAUCUUGGGGGUCUGGACAGGUUCUUUCCUGUUGGGACACACCCUAUCAGUUGGUGGCUUGGGAGAUAGUACAGGGAGGAGGCAUCUCCUGGCUCUGAAUCAGAGUGAGAACAUGACACUCUUUUCCAAUGAUCUUGCAAUAGUUCUGAUAACAGGAAAAAGACUUCUCUGUGUUAGCAUGCUUUUAACAUCUUGCUGAUCACCCCCACUGUUUUUUUUUAAGAGACAGGGUCUUGCUAUGUUGCCUAGGCUGCCUCGGAACUCUUAGGCUCGAGCAAUCCUCCAACCUCAGCCUCCCAAGCAGCUGGGAUUACCAGUAAGCACCACCACACCUGGCUCCCUUUUUAAUAGACCCUAAACCUCAGACUCACGGACUCUUUCAGGCAACAGUAUCUGGCUACAAUUCACUAACACUGUUUUAUUUCAAUAGUGUUUAUAUUCAUAAGUUUGUCUUCUAUUUUUGGCAGAUGGCCCUGGUUUCCUGUUUACCAUGGCAAUAUAGGGCUUUCUUUUCAAAUAAACAAAAUAAACGGAGUUAAUUUAAAGAAAGCAAGUGAAUACUAGUUCAGGUGGAAGGUGGACAUGGCAAAAAUUAGAGCUUGAGUGUGGUUAGCAUUUGGUAAAUAGUGAUAGGGUGGAAAGAGGAGAAUGGGGUUUGCUGCAGUGAGUCUGGGUUCAAAUCCAAACUUUAUCAAUUGCAUAGAACCUUUGGGUAAGUUACUGGUGUAGCUUCUCUGAGCCUUAGUUUCUUCACGGAUAAAAUGAGGGCAACUUGUUUUGCAGGGCUGCCAUGUUCUAUUGAAGGUUAUGUUUGUAAAGUAACCCGCACACACUAAGCCCUCAGCAAAUGCAGAAACCUGCCUGCUCCAUCCCCUACCUGCCCUUUCCAUUCUGGGAGACUUUGGGGUUUUCUCUGUCCUCCACAUGGCCACAGGCAGGUAGGUGGGCCCUGCCUGGCCCUCCUCUAUAGCAACCAGACCUCACUCUCCUCCCCUAUUAUGGAGGAAGAGGACUCAGUUCCUAUUAGUGCCUUCCUGUCCCCUCUCCAGCUCCACACACACACACACACACACAUACACACACAUACAAUUAUACACACACAAUUAUCUUGGGGGAUGAGAGUCUUGGUUAACAAUAGAAUUAAAGGAGAUUUGGCAGGUCAGACCCUAGGCCAACUUGAGAAGCUCAAGGCGUGGCGGAGGGGAUGGCCCUUUAGAGGGGAUCUCAAAUCCCCCAAGGAUCUCUGAUUUAGACCCAGCAAGGCCCUCUCGUGACAGA